RNAcentral lists this non-coding RNA (22 nucleotides) under Arabidopsis thaliana (thale cress). Lineage: Eukaryota; Viridiplantae; Streptophyta; Magnoliopsida; Brassicales; Brassicaceae. The record is from RNAcentral.
AUGACAUGAUGUUGAUGUGCAU